RNAcentral lists this ribosomal RNA (253 nucleotides) under uncultured bacterium. RNAcentral's name for it is "partial 16S ribosomal RNA". It matches the Rfam family "Bacterial small subunit ribosomal RNA", at positions 524 to 776 of the family's 1533-position model. The record is from RNAcentral.
UACAGAGGUCUCAAGCGUUGUUCGGAAUCACUGGGCGUAAAGGGUGCGUAGGUGGCGUGGAAAGUCAGAUGUGAAAUCCGGAGGCUCAACCUCCGAAUUGCAUCCGAUACUCCCAUGCUAGAGAACUGGAGGGGAGUCUGGAAUUCUCGGUGUAGCAGUGAAAUGCGUAGAUAUCUGGAGGAACACCGGUGGCGAAGGCGACAUCCUGGACCGGUAUUGACGCUGAGGCGCGAAAGCCAGGGGAGCAAACGGG